GUAUAGUCUGAGCAAACGCAGCAGAUUAACUGCUCAGAGAUGGAAGCAUUGGUGAGAGAAACAGUACUGAAAAACGAUGUGGAAGGACCCAUCCGAGAGAUCGGUGGAUUAGGAGCCAACAGCUACUUCAAAAACUCAGUCUACCAGAGAAGAGCUGCAAAUGUCACAAAGGAUAUAAUAGAUGAAGUAAUCACCAAGAAGCUAGAUGUGAAAUCCCUCUCAUCUGCUUCCAAUAGAACAAUUUGUCUUGCUGAUUUUGGAUGCGCAGUUGGUCCAAAUACAUUUACUUCUUUGCAAUCUCUAAUAGAUAUAGUUAAAAAGAAAUAUCUAUCCCAAUUCCCUAAUGAACCCAUGCCUGAAUUUCAAGUGUUCUUUAAUGAUCAACCCUCAAAUGAUUUCAAUACCCUCUUCAGGUCUCUCCCACCUGACAGGGAAUACUUUGCAGCCGGGGUGCCAGGUUCUUUUCAUGGCCGAGUAUUCCCUAAAUCUUCCCUCCAUGUUGUGCAAUCCAAUUAUGCACUCCAUUGGCUCUCUAAGAUACCAGAAAGUUUGGUAGACAAGAACUCUCCUGCGUGGAACAAAGGGAAGAUUCACUAUGCAGGCGCCUCUGAUGAGGUACUUAAAGCAUAUGGAGAAAGAUGGGCUGAAGACCUAAAUAAUUUCUUGAACGCAAGAGCUGAAGAGAUAGUGCCUGGAGGGAUGGUUAUAGUUAUCAUGCCAAGUAUCCCUGAUGGAAUGCCUUAUUCUGAACUUGCAAAUGGCCUAUUGUACAGUAGUUUCGAAUCAACCCUCCUUGAUAUGUCGAAAAGGGGAAUAAUAAGUGAAGACCAAGUGGAUGCCUUCAACUUGCCAAUAUAUGCUGCUCCUCCAGGAGAAUUUGCUGCUGUGGUGGAAAAGAAUGGGUAUUUCGACAUUGAAGCGAUAGGACUAACAAAUCCAGCUCCUUGGCUAACAGAUGACGUGCACGUUGAUAUGAAAGAAUAUGUGAGGCACAUUAGGGCUCCAAUGGAAGCAAUGUUCACCAAACACUUCCCAAAUGAAAUUGUGGAUGAAAUGUUCGAGCAGUUACUGGUAAAUAAACUUCCGAAGGUCUUCGACAAAAUGGAAAGAGCUUACAAGGACAAAAUUCAAUCUUACUACGUCCUUCAACGUAAAUGAUUGCAAUUAAAAAUUUAAUUUGUCUGGCUGGUGAAGCUUUCUUAAUGCUUUUUAGGCAUGGCAUAAUAUAUUAUAUAUAUGUGUGUGUGCAAUAAAAGAAAAUUUGUGGUCUUAAGUUGAGUGUAUUUAGUGUAAGCCUGAUGGCUUAGGUUAGUUGUGUGUUCUCAAGUUAAUAAAUUUUUCUUGAUUUUUUAAAAUGUUAAUAAAAUUUUAGCUUAUAAGA
RNAcentral lists this unclassified non-coding RNA (1381 nucleotides) under Hevea brasiliensis (rubber tree). Lineage: Eukaryota; Viridiplantae; Streptophyta; Magnoliopsida; Malpighiales; Euphorbiaceae. The record is from RNAcentral.